RNAcentral lists this ribosomal RNA (253 nucleotides) under uncultured bacterium. RNAcentral's name for it is "partial 16S ribosomal RNA". It matches the Rfam family "Bacterial small subunit ribosomal RNA", at positions 524 to 776 of the family's 1533-position model. The record is from RNAcentral.
UACAGAGGAGCCAAGCGUUGUCCGGAUUGACUGGGCGUAAAGCGCACGCAGGCGGGUGCGCGCGUGGGGGGUGAAAUCUGGCCGCUUAACGGCCAGGCGCCAUCCCAUACGGCGCGCCUGGAGGGCUGCAGAGGUCGAUGGAAUUGCCGGUGUAGUGGUGAAAUGCGUAGAGAUCGGCAGGAACACCCAGGGGGAAACCAGUCGACUGGGCAGCACCUGACGCUGAGGUGCGAGAGCGUGGGGAGCGAACAGG